RNAcentral lists this transfer RNA (56 nucleotides) under Echinolaena inflexa. RNAcentral's name for it is "partial tRNA-Gly". It matches the Rfam family "tRNA", at positions 1 to 56 of the family's 71-position model. Rfam says of the family: Transfer RNA (tRNA) molecules are approximately 80 nucleotides in length. Their secondary structure includes four short double-helical elements and three loops (D, anti-codon, and T loops). RNAcentral also lists the same sequence under 3 other names. The record is from RNAcentral. Lineage: Eukaryota; Viridiplantae; Streptophyta; Magnoliopsida; Poales; Poaceae.
GCGAGCGUGGUUCAGUGGUAAAACAUCUCCUUGCCAAGGAGAAGAUGCGGGUUCGA